AGCUGGAGACCCCAGAACUUGGUGUCUGCCUU
This 32-nucleotide non-coding RNA is filed under the name Homo sapiens (human). Lineage: Eukaryota; Metazoa; Chordata; Mammalia; Primates; Hominidae. The record is from RNAcentral.